This 626-nucleotide ribosomal RNA is filed under the name uncultured fungus. RNAcentral's name for it is "eukaryotic LSU rRNA". It matches the Rfam family "Eukaryotic large subunit ribosomal RNA", at positions 23 to 673 of the family's 3401-position model. Lineage: Eukaryota; Fungi. The record is from RNAcentral.
ACCCGCUGAAUUUAAGCAUAUCAAUAAGCGGAGGAAAAGAAACCAACAGGGAUUGCCCCAGUAACGGCGAGUGAAGCGGCAACAGCUCAAAUUUGAAAUCUGGCUCCUCUUAGGGGUCCGAGUUGUAAUUUGUAGAGGAUGCUUUUGGCGAGGUUCCUUCCGAGUCCGCUGGAACGCGGCGCCGGAGAGGGUGAGAGCCCCGUACGGUUGGACGCCGAGCCUGUGUAAAGCUCCUUCGACGAGUCGAGUAGUUUGGGAAUGCUGCUCUAAAUGGGGGGUGUACUCCUUCUAAAGCUAAAUAUAGGCCAGAGACCGAUAGCGCACAAGUAGAGUGAUCGAAAGAUGAAAAGCACUUUGAAAAGAGGGUUAAAUAGUACGUGAAAUUGCUGAAAGGGAAGCGCUUGUGACCAGACUUGAGCCUGCGGAUCACCUAGCCCCGGCUAGGGCAUACCGCCGGCUCAGGCCAGCACCGGUUCGUCUCGGGGGGUAAAGGCCUGGGGAAUGUGGCUCUUCGGAGUGUUAUAGCCCCUAGCACAAUACCCUGGGAUGGACCGAGGCUCGCGCUCUAUGCAAGGGUGCUGGCGUAAUGGUCAUCAGCGGCCCGUCUUGAAACACGGACCAAGGAG